UGAGGAAUAUUGGUCAAUGGGCGGAAGCCUGAACCAGCCAUGCCGCGUGCGGGAAGGAGGCCCUAUGGGCUGUGAACCGCUUUUGCCUGGGGGCAAUAAGGGCGUCGCGCACGUCCGAUGAGAGUACCAGGCGAAUAAGCAUCGGCUAACUCCGUGCCAGCAGCCGCGGUAAUACGGGGGAUGCGAGCGUUAUCCGGAUUCAUUGGGUUUAAAGGGUGCGUAGGCUGUGCGUCAAGUCGGGGGUGAAAUUCCGGUGCUCAACACCGGGGCUGCCCUUGAUACUGUCGCGCUGGAGUGCGGAUGCCGCCGGAGGAAUGAGUGGUGUAGCGGUGAAAUGCUUAGAUAUCACUCAGAACACCGAUUGCGAAGGCAUCUGGCGAAUCCGUAACUGACGCUGAGG
This 400-nucleotide ribosomal RNA is filed under the name uncultured bacterium. RNAcentral describes it as "bacterial SSU rRNA". It matches the Rfam family "Bacterial small subunit ribosomal RNA", at positions 355 to 751 of the family's 1533-position model. The record is from RNAcentral.